UACGUAGGGUGCAAGCGUUAAUCGGAAUUACUGGGCGUAAAGCGUGCGCAGGCGGUUAUGUAAGACAGAUGUGAAAUCCCCGGGCUCAACCUGGGAACUGCAUUUGUGACUGCAUAGCUAGAGUACGGUAGAGGGGGAUGGAAUUCCGCGUGUAGCAGUGAAAUGCGUAGAUAUGCGGAGGAACACCGAUGGCGAAGGCAAUCCCCUGGACCUGUACUGACGCUCAUGCACGAAAGCGUGGGGAGCGAACCGG
This 253-nucleotide ribosomal RNA is filed under the name uncultured bacterium. RNAcentral describes it as "partial 16S ribosomal RNA". It matches the Rfam family "Bacterial small subunit ribosomal RNA", at positions 524 to 776 of the family's 1533-position model. The record is from RNAcentral.